GACGAACGCUGGCGGCGUGCUUAACACAUGCAAGUCGAACGGAAAGGCCCUGCUUGCAGGGUACUCGAGUGGCGAACGGGUGAGUAACACGUGGGUGAUCUGCCCUGCACUUCGGGAUAAGCCUGGGAAACUGGGUCUAAUACCGGAUAGGAGCCAUUUUUAGUGUGAUGGUUGGAAAGUUUUUUCGGUGUAGGAUGAGCUCGCGGCCUAUCAGCUUGUUGGUGGGGUAAUGGCCUACCAAGGCGGCGACGGGUAGCCGGCCUGAGAGGGUGGACGGCCACAUUGGGCCUAGGAUACGCCCCAGACCCCUACGGGGGGCAGCAGGGGGGAAUAUUGCACAAUGGGCGCAAGCCUGAUGCAGCGGCCCCGCGUGGGGGAUUCCGGCCUUCGGGUUGUAAACCCCUUUCGCUAGGGACGAAGCUUUUUGGGACGGUACCUAGAUAAAAAGCCCCGGCUACCUCCUU
Molecule: ribosomal RNA, 464 nt
Filed under: uncultured bacterium
Lineage: Bacteria
Description: partial 16S ribosomal RNA
Rfam family: Bacterial small subunit ribosomal RNA
Source: RNAcentral